GCUGUAGCUCAGUAGGAUAGAGCGUCCGCCUCCUAAGCGGAAGGCCGCUGGUUCGACUCCAGUCAG
RNAcentral lists this transfer RNA (66 nucleotides) under uncultured Roseburia sp. It matches the Rfam family "tRNA", at positions 5 to 66 of the family's 71-position model. From Rfam's summary of the family: Transfer RNA (tRNA) molecules are approximately 80 nucleotides in length. Their secondary structure includes four short double-helical elements and three loops (D, anti-codon, and T loops). The record is from RNAcentral. Lineage: Bacteria; Bacillati; Bacillota; Clostridia; Lachnospirales; Lachnospiraceae.